CCUCCUAUAGCUCAGUUGGUUAGAGCAGAGGACUCAUAAUCCUUUGGUCGCUGGUUCAAGUCCAGCUGGGAGGA
This 74-nucleotide transfer RNA is filed under the name Pelistega indica. It matches the Rfam family "tRNA". Rfam says of the family: Transfer RNA (tRNA) molecules are approximately 80 nucleotides in length. Their secondary structure includes four short double-helical elements and three loops (D, anti-codon, and T loops). The record is from Rfam by way of RNAcentral. Lineage: Bacteria; Pseudomonadati; Pseudomonadota; Betaproteobacteria; Burkholderiales; Alcaligenaceae.